AUGAAUAUUUUGUCUUGGAACUGCCCGGGGGGGGGGGGGACUCGGACAGUUCGUGAGGUUUUGGCCCUCUCAAAAGCCAAUAACCCCAAGCUAGUCUUUGUUUGUGAGACUAGGCAGGAGGCAACCAAGAUAGAGAAAAUGAAGUGGAGGCUGGGCCUAAAAGGCUUCCACGGUGUCAGUAGUGAUGGAAGAAGCGGAGGGCUAGCUUUGUUCUGGGAUGAGAAUCUCACUGUUAUGGUUCUGGAAUCUUGUAGUAGGUUCAUUGACGUUCGGAUUCUUGAAGGAGGCUCUAGUAUCUCAUGGAGGGAUACUUUUGUUUAUGGGGAGCCGAGAGUGGAAAAUCUUCAAUGGAUGUGGGAUCAUCUGUGUCGUCUGCGGGCCGUGUCGCGAGAACCAUGGGUCGUUUGCGGCGACUUCAAUGAAGCACUCUGGCAGCACGAGCACUUGUCAAGAUCAACCAGAGCGGAGACACAAAUGUCAGCGUUCAGGGAUUGCCUACAAACAUGUGAGCUUGAGGAUCUUGGGUUCUCAGGCAUCCAUACACAUACAAUAAUGGUCAAGUGA
This 564-nucleotide ribosomal RNA is filed under the name Triticum aestivum (bread wheat). Its description in RNAcentral is "partial small subunit ribosomal RNA". The record is from RNAcentral. Lineage: Eukaryota; Viridiplantae; Streptophyta; Magnoliopsida; Poales; Poaceae.